GCCCUUUUAAGAGAUGGCUGAAAAGGAGGUCAUAUGUACUUUUAUCAGAAUAGUGCAAGCUGAGCAGAGUAAAUGAAUGCCAUAAUCAGAAUAGAAAAACUGUUUUGCAAAUUCGCUGUUCACUACCAUCCUGGGAAAAACCAACUCCAAGAUUCCAUGACAUUUCGCUAAAAUCAGGACUGAUUCUCCAAGAUCUUCACAGUUGUACAUCGUACCUUUUACAGCAUGGUGUGCUUAUGAAAUUCUAGCACAUUUUUUUCCUUUGGGAGCAUUUCUGUGGAUAUUAUGCAGCUCAGCAUCACACCCACUCUUAGUUGACUGUGGUAAUUACUUGUGAAUUGUACAUACCAAACUUUAUUCAGUUUUUUUUUUU
Lingula anatina is the source of this 373-nucleotide long non-coding RNA. The record is from RefSeq and is a predicted model, not a curated record. Lineage: Eukaryota; Metazoa; Brachiopoda; Lingulata; Lingulida; Lingulidae.